RNAcentral lists this non-coding RNA (77 nucleotides) under Homo sapiens (human). The record is from RNAcentral. Lineage: Eukaryota; Metazoa; Chordata; Mammalia; Primates; Hominidae.
AUUCUCCUUCUCUUCCCCUUAGUUUCCUUUAAGAGUGAUAAAAAUGGAAAAGGGGGCUGAGGUGGAGGAAGGAGACC